GGAAUAUUGGACAAUGGGCGAAAGCCUGAUCCAGCCAUGCCGCGUGGGUGAAGAAGGCCUUAGGGUUGUAAAUCCCUUUCAGCGGGGAAGAUAAUGACGGUACCCGCAGAAGAAGCCCCGGCUAACCCAGUGCCAGCAGCCGCGGUAAUACGGAGGGGGCUAGCGUUGUUCGGGAGUACUGGGCGUAAAGCGCGCGUAGGCGGACUUUCAAGUCAGGGGUGAAAUCCCGAGGCUCAACCUCGGAACUGCCUUUGAUACUGUAAGUCUUGAGUCCGAGAGAGGUGAGUGGAAUUCCUAGUGUAGAGGUGAAAUUCGUAGAUAUUAGGAAGAACACCAGUGGCGAAGGCGGCUCACUGGCUCGGUACUGACGCUGAGGCGCGAAAGCGUGGGGAGCAAAC
This 398-nucleotide ribosomal RNA is filed under the name uncultured bacterium. RNAcentral's name for it is "bacterial SSU rRNA". It matches the Rfam family "Bacterial small subunit ribosomal RNA", at positions 358 to 773 of the family's 1533-position model. The record is from RNAcentral.